RNAcentral lists this ribosomal RNA (724 nucleotides) under Corynebacterium imitans. RNAcentral describes it as "bacterial SSU rRNA". It matches the Rfam family "Bacterial small subunit ribosomal RNA", at positions 53 to 786 of the family's 1533-position model. The record is from RNAcentral. Lineage: Bacteria; Bacillati; Actinomycetota; Actinomycetes; Mycobacteriales; Corynebacteriaceae.
ACAUGCAAGUCGAACGGAAAGGCCGAAGCUUGCUUCGGUACUCGAGUGGCGAACGGGUGAGUAACACGUGGGUGAUCUGCCCUGUACUUCGGGAUAAGCUUGGGAAACUGGGUCUAAUACCGGAUAUGACAAUCUCUUGGAUGGGGUUGUGGAAAGCUUUUGCGGUAUGGGAUGAGCUCGCGGCCUAUCAGCUUGUUGGUGGGGUAAUGGCCUACCAAGGCGUCGACGGGUAGCCGGCCUGAGAGGGUGUACGGCCACAUUGGGACUGAGAUACGGCCCAGACUCCUACGGGAGGCAGCAGUGGGGAAUAUUGCACAAUGGGCGCAAGCCUGAUGCAGCGACGCCGCGUGGGGGAUGACGGCCUUCGGGUUGUAAACUCCUUUCGCAACCGACGAAGCUUUUGUGACGGUAGGUUGAGAAGAAGCACCGGCUAACUACGUGCCAGCAGCCGCGGUAAUACGUAGGGUGCGAGCGUUGUCCGGAAUUACUGGGCGUAAAGAGCUCGUAGGUGGUUUGUCGCGUCGUUUGUGGAAUACCGCAGCUUAACUGCGGGGUUGCAGGCGAUACGGGCAUAACUUGAGUGCUGUAGGGGAGACUGGAAUUCCUGGUGUAGCGGUGGAAUGCGCAGAUAUCAGGAGGAACACUCGAUGGCGAAGGCAGGUCUCUGGGCAGUAACUGACGCUGAGGAGCGAAAAGCAUGGGGGAGCGAACAGGAUUAGAUACC